UGCUGUCAGCCUCCAAACCCACCAUGCAAAUGACAGUCCACUCUCUGAAACUGAAGCUGGAUACAGGAUGCUUAACGUUCCCAGAGUACUCAGUGUCCAUUCUGAAUGGUUUAGAUUGGGCACCAAGAUAUACAAGAAAAUUAAAAUCACCGGGAAGCCUACUAGAAAAAUAGGCAUUUUUAUUACAGUUAUUAAUGUGCAUUUGUGGAGACCUGAGCUGUGUCCUGUGGGUGUAAACAUGCUAAGCCUUGUGUGUGGAAGUCAGAGAACCACCCAUGGAAGGUGGUUCUCUCCUCCUAAAGUGUCCUGGGACUCAGAGUUCAGUUGUCAUCUUGUAGCAGGUGCCCUCAUUGCCUGAGCCACCUUCCUGCCCUAACGCACUGUUUUGUUUUCAAUAGAGAUUGGUUUUUGUAUCUCCCAUACUAUCUAACAAAAUAACUUCAUGUGUUACAACUUAA
This 458-nucleotide long non-coding RNA is filed under the name Rattus norvegicus (Norway rat). RNAcentral describes it as "long non-coding RNA NONRATT002025". Lineage: Eukaryota; Metazoa; Chordata; Mammalia; Rodentia; Muridae. The record is from RNAcentral.